GUGUCAGCCGCCGCGGUAAUACAGAGGGUGCGAGCGUUAAUCGGAGUUACUGGGCGUAAAGGGCGCGUAGGCGGUUUGUUAAGUGAUAUGUGAAAUCCCUGGGCUUAACCUAGGAACUGCAUGUCAUACUGGCGAGCUAGAGUAUUGUAGAGGGUAGUGGAAUUUCCGGUGUAGCGGUGAAAUGCGUAGAGAUCGGAAGGAACACCAGUGGCGAAGGCGGCUACCUGGACAAAUACUGACGCUGAGGCGCGAAAGCGUGGGGAGCAAACAGGAUUAGAAACCCCAGUAGUCC
RNAcentral lists this ribosomal RNA (292 nucleotides) under uncultured bacterium. RNAcentral describes it as "partial 16S ribosomal RNA". It matches the Rfam family "Bacterial small subunit ribosomal RNA", at positions 505 to 796 of the family's 1533-position model. The record is from RNAcentral.